AUGAAUGGGGGGUGGUGUGUCUACACGUACUCCAACACUCAAGUCAGUGAGUGUGAGACAUUAGGUUUUGUGAGACCCAUGAAUUUCCUUAUAACACAUAGAUAAAUAUUUAUUCUAUUUAUAUGUGAAAAUAUUAUAACAUUGUUUCUAGUUCGGUCCAUUUAUCAAAAUUUUCAAUUUCCUCCUACUUUUCUAGUAGGCAAGAUGGACUCAAUCUCAUAUUCAUAGUAAGCCUCAACAGAAUACAAUUUGCUCAUAGAAUGAAUAAAUUAAUUGAAUAA
This 281-nucleotide long non-coding RNA is filed under the name Medicago truncatula (barrel medic). Its description in RNAcentral is "lncRNA gene31277". The record is from RNAcentral. Lineage: Eukaryota; Viridiplantae; Streptophyta; Magnoliopsida; Fabales; Fabaceae.